RNAcentral lists this ribosomal RNA (759 nucleotides) under uncultured Haemophilus sp. RNAcentral describes it as "bacterial SSU rRNA". It matches the Rfam family "Bacterial small subunit ribosomal RNA", at positions 28 to 776 of the family's 1533-position model. Lineage: Bacteria; Pseudomonadati; Pseudomonadota; Gammaproteobacteria; Pasteurellales; Pasteurellaceae. The record is from RNAcentral.
AUUGAACGCUGGCGGCAGGCUUAACACAUGCAAGUCGAACGGUAGCAGGAGAAAGCUUGCUUUCUUGCUGACGAGUGGCGGACGGGUGAGUAAUGCUUGGGAAUCUGGCUUAUGGAGGGGGAUAACUACGGGAAACUGUAGCUAAUACCGCGUAAUAUCGAAAGAUUAAAGUGUGGGACCUUCGGGCCACAUGCCAUAAGAUGAGCCCAAGUGGGAUUAGGUAGUUGGUGGGGUAAAGGCCUACCAAGCCGACGAUCUCUAGCUGGUCUGAGAGGAUGACCAGCCACACUGGAACUGAGACACGGUCCAGACUCCUACGGGAGGCAGCAGUGGGGAAUAUUGCGCAAUGGGGGGAACCCUGACGCAGCCAUGCCGCGUGAAUGAAGAAGGCCUUCGGGUUGUAGAGUUCUUUCGGUAUUGAGGAAGGGAUGUGUGCUAAUAGUAGACAUCAUUGACGUUAAAUACAGAAGAAGCACCGGCUAACUCCGUGCCAGCAGCCGCGGUAAUACGGAGGGUGCGAGCGUUAAUCGGAAUAACUGGGCGUAAAGGGCACGCAGGCGGUUAUUUAAGUGAGGUGUGAAAGCCCCGGGCUUAACCUGGGAAUUGCAUUUCAGACUGGGUAACUAGAGUACUUUAGGGAGGGGUAGAAUUCCACGUGUAGCGGUGAAAUGCGUAGAGAUGUGGAGGAAUACCGAAGGCGAAGGCAGCCCCUUGGGAAUGUACUGACGCUCAUGUGCGAAAGCGUGGGGAGCAAACAGG